GGACCCGCACAAGUAGUGGAGCAUGUGGUUUAAUUCGAAGAUACGCGCAGAACCUUACCAACACUUGACAUGUUCGUCGCGACUUUAAGAGAUUAAAGUUUUCGGUUCGGCCGGACGAAACACAGGUGCUGCAUGGCUGUCGUCAGCUCGUGUCGUGAGAUGUUGGGUUAAGUCCCGCAACGAGCGCAACCCUCACUUUUAGUUGCCAUCAUUUAGUUGGGCACUCUGAAAGAACUGCCAGUGAUAAGCUGGAGGAAGGUGGGGAUGACGUCAAGUCCUCAUGGCCCUUACGUGUCGGGCUACACACGUGCUACAAUGGUAUUUACAACAGGAGCAAAACGGCGACGUU
This 349-nucleotide ribosomal RNA is filed under the name uncultured bacterium. Its description in RNAcentral is "bacterial SSU rRNA". It matches the Rfam family "Bacterial small subunit ribosomal RNA", at positions 917 to 1264 of the family's 1533-position model. The record is from RNAcentral.